GACGAACGCUGGCGGCGUGCUUAACACAUGCAAGUCGAACGGAAAGGCCCUGAUUUUGUGGGGUGCUCGAGUGGCGAACGGGUGAGAAACACGCGAGUAACCUGCCCUUGACUGUGGGGUAACUUCAGGAAAAUGGGGCUCAUAUACGAUAGGAGCUACUGCUGCAUGGUGGGGGUUGGAAAGUUUCGGCGGUUCGGGACGGACUCGCGGCUUAUCAGCUUGUUGGUGGGGUAGUGGGUUACCAAGGCUUUGACGGGUAGCCGGCCUGGGAGCGUGACCGGCCACCUGAGGACUGCGGGACGCACCAGACUCCUACCGGAGGCAGCAGGGGAGAAUCUUGCACAAUGGCCGGAAGCCUGAUGCAGCAACGCCGCGUGCGGGAUGCCGUGCUUCGGGUUGUAAACCGCUUUCGCCUGUGACGAAGCGUGAGUGACGGUAAUGGGUAAAGAAGCACCGGCUAACUACGUG
RNAcentral lists this ribosomal RNA (468 nucleotides) under uncultured bacterium. RNAcentral describes it as "partial 16S ribosomal RNA". It matches the Rfam family "Bacterial small subunit ribosomal RNA", at positions 28 to 507 of the family's 1533-position model. The record is from RNAcentral.